Molecule: ribosomal RNA, 492 nt
Filed under: uncultured bacterium
Lineage: Bacteria
Description: partial 16S ribosomal RNA
Rfam family: Bacterial small subunit ribosomal RNA
Source: RNAcentral
AGUGAACGCUGGCGGUAGGCCUAACACAUGCAAGUCGAACGGCAGCACAGUAAGAGCUUGCUCUUACGGGUGGCGAGUGGCGGACGGGUGAGGAAUACAUCGGAAUCUACUUUUUCGUGGGGGAUAACGUAGGGAAACUUACGCUAAUACCGCAUACGACCUACGGGUGAAAGCAGGGGAUCUUCGGACCUUGCGCGAUUGAAUGAGCCGAUGUCGGAUUAGCUAGUUGGCGGGGUAAAGGCCCACCAAGGCGACGAUCCGUAGCUGGUCUGAGAGGAUGAUCAGCCACCCUGGAACUGAGACACGGUCCAGACUCCUACGGGAGGCAGCAGUGGGGAAUAUUGGACAAUGGGCGCAAGCCUGAUCCAGCCAUACCGCGUGGGUGACGAAGGCCUUCGGGUUGUAAAGCCCUUUUGUUGGGAAAGAAAAGCAGCAGGUUAAUACCCCGCUGUUCUGACGGUACCCAAAGAAUAAGCACCGGCUAACUUCGUG